GGUUAAAGUUUAACUGUACCGAAGACAGUAGGUGACGCAAGUCUUAAUUUCCUACCGAGGACAAUUAUUGAGAACAUUCAAUAGUCCCUCUAUGUCUGCGGUGGCAUGGAGUUUUUUUGCGUUUUCA
Molecule: regulatory RNA element, 127 nt
Organism: Enterococcus canis
Lineage: Bacteria; Bacillati; Bacillota; Bacilli; Lactobacillales; Enterococcaceae
Rfam family: Ribosomal protein L10 leader
About the family: This family is a putative r-protein leader autoregulatory structure found in B. subtilis and other low-GC Gram-positive bacteria. It is located in the 5' untranslated regions of mRNAs encoding ribosomal proteins L10 and L12 (rplJ-rplL).
Source: Rfam